UCUCAUGUGGUAGGCGAGUGCUCUACCUCUGACCCCAACUUUCAUUUUCUUAAUAGGGGAUGUAGCCUUUUGAAGUAAAUGGUUUUGAGACUUGAAAAAAGCAAAGGGUUUAGAAUGAUUACACUAGUGAAUUUUGUGUGAAUCUAAACAGGAGAAACAUAGUACUACAUUUAUUUUUUAAAUCUAGUUGAAUGCUCUGGUGUACUAUGUAAUGACCAUAAAGUACUGGAGAUAAGACAGUGUACAAAACAGUCAAAGUGCUUUACCUCAUGGUAAAGUGUAUAUGUAUAGAAUAUAGUGUACCUUAAUAGUGGGCACAACCAGUGUCAUUAUUAUUUCCUCACUGUUUGAGAAUUUGAGGGUAGAAGCAACAAAGCAGGUAGUGGGCUUAUCUAGAGUUAUCAAAAUAGGCAAAUAGAAGAGAAAGUUAAUGAAGCUAGCAAGAUAUUUUUAGAAUGCAUUUACUUGCAUUUGGGUUUGGGUAAGGAAGCCAGAUUAAUAUAUUGAGAGAGAAAAAAAGAUCAAGGGACUAGAAAGCAUUUGGGGGAGAGCCAAGAGCAAGGUUAGCAGAAAUGAGGCAGUGAGAAAAAAUAUAAUGCU
RNAcentral lists this long non-coding RNA (600 nucleotides) under Marmota monax (woodchuck). Lineage: Eukaryota; Metazoa; Chordata; Mammalia; Rodentia; Sciuridae. The record is from RNAcentral.